GUUGUAUUCACGCAAACAUCAUCGUCAAGGUGAAACGAACUAUGUACAAGACUUGUCAUUAGGAGAGUUGCGUUUUAUACUUGCACGUAAACAGGCAGUUCGUCGGUAGUGCAUACAGCCAAAGGUAUUAAACGACACCACAGUUUAAGUGGAGAAAAAUUUAUGGCUUGUUUCAUCGAUUGAAUUGUCAACGUGAUAUCCAGCGAUAGCGAUGGAUGGAAUUAUUGCCAUGUCCUGUCUUCUCGACACUUAUCUGUUUCGUAUCGAUUCGUAAAAAACGAUCGAGAGAGGAACCCAAGUCACGGUGAAACAAGAGUAAACAGAAAUUAGCCGUGACAUUGCUCAGGCUACUUUAAUGGAAGUUGUGUAACUUGGUUCUCUAUACAAACAUUUAUCAUACGUGCCCACGCAUUGUCGACAUUUGCAUUGUCGAUUGUUGCGAAAUCCCAUUCGAUCAAAGAAACCGUGAAGCCAAGUAAAACAACGUAUCUUCGCCGAUAACUUAUUUGAAAAUCUUGAACUUUUUGUAAUAAAAAUCGCCUACGAUAACCUUUCAUGCCAGAGGGUAUGAUAAGCAGAUGAAUUACGACUAGUUUGCAACUAAACGCGUGAUAACUGAUCCAUUAUCUGAUUAUGUUGUUUAUAAGGAAAAGUACAUCUUCACAAGGAAAAGUGCCAAUUUCUUAUUUUUGAGCAUCAAGAUUGCGAGUUUCGCAGAUGAAAAAUCCCUUUCAAUUCUUAUUCGUAACACAGCACGCAUGUUGUUACGAAUCAAAAUGAUUUCUAUACAAACGACAAGCGGUUACGUAACUAAUUGUAUACGUUCAAGACAGGUGCAUACACCAAAUGGAAAUUGCUCUUGACGGGAUUGCUACAGAGAUCCGCGAGGACAAAGUGAAAGUGUGUGCGCGAGGAUCGAUGGAUGUCAGUAAACUCUUAACGAGAAUGUCGUAAGGUUAAGGACUCAACAUUCGCAACAUUUCAUACAUCGGCAAUGAUUCAGUCAUUUCAUAGUCGACAUUGAUCAGAUCGAUUAAUGCAAGAAACGUAUGUACUGGAUGGAGAAAAGAAUACCUACACAUACCUAUAUAUGCUGGAUUGGAACGUGGGUGUUUCUUUAACAGUCCGACGACUUACUGCUCGACAAAUCUUUGGAAUAGUAACAAGACGUGGUCAAAUAAUAUUGGCAAAUAUCGACCGAAUGAAAAACCUCAAAGAUAACGAGGAGCCAAUCGUGUGAACCUGCAAAUGUGUUGCAACAGUGACAGACAAGUAACACUGGAUACAGAUUUCGAGGGAAGUUCAUGAAGGAGAAAAAGUUUCUUACAUUCACCGUUCACUGAUCACACUCUAUCGAAACUGCGACAUCCUUCAGAUUCGGCGAGAUACAACGUACAUAAUCACACGUCGCGACUUACGAGCAUGAUCCUUCUCCCGAACUUCUUAUGUGUUGGGUGUUUUUGGAGCUGCAUAUCGUCGGUAACAAUGAAUACACGCGUAUGUAGAAUUGGAGUACACGCGUCGCGCCUGCGCGUAUGUAUUUCAAGUACAGUCUUGUGCAUAAACUGAUUAUUUGAAUCGAUUGAGUAGUUCAUUGAACUUAAAA
This is a long non-coding RNA of Frieseomelitta varia, 1606 nucleotides long. RefSeq lists it as uncharacterized. The record is from RefSeq and is a predicted model, not a curated record. Lineage: Eukaryota; Metazoa; Arthropoda; Insecta; Hymenoptera; Apidae. The transcript has 4 exons.